GUUAUAGUAAAAUAGAGUCAUGUUCCAGCCUUUUCAACUGUAGUGACAAAAAUUCACCCUAUUGCUGCCAAGGACAUAAAAUUCCAUUUCUUUUUAUGAUAGCAAACAAACUCUUAUAUAUUUCACCUAAAGUGCAGCAAAUUCAGAUAAAGGUUUCAAGAUCUUAACUCUGCUCAAUGACCAGAAAACUCAACACAAACUUAUAAAAAGCUAGCAAUAUAUAUAUAUAUGAACUGGAAUUGAAUUAGAAUAUUUAGAGA
RNAcentral lists this unclassified non-coding RNA (260 nucleotides) under Hevea brasiliensis (rubber tree). Lineage: Eukaryota; Viridiplantae; Streptophyta; Magnoliopsida; Malpighiales; Euphorbiaceae. The record is from RNAcentral.